ACUCCUACGGGAGGCAGCAGUGGGGAAUUUUGGACAAUGGGCGAAAGCCUGAUCCAGCAAUGCCGCGUGAGUGAAGAAGGCCUUCGGGUUGUAAAGCUCUUUUGUCAGGGAAGAAACGGUGAGAGCUAAUAUCUCUUGCUGAUGACGGUACCUGAAGAAUAAGCACCGGCUAUCCACGUGCCAGCAGCCGCGGUAAU
Molecule: ribosomal RNA, 197 nt
Filed under: uncultured bacterium
Lineage: Bacteria
Description: partial 16S ribosomal RNA
Rfam family: Bacterial small subunit ribosomal RNA
Source: RNAcentral